GCUUUUAACUGAUAGGGGUUGGUUCACCAACUCCUAUAGGAAUCGGUUGAAUUGGAACGGGUACUUGGUUUGCGGUGGGAUUAUUGGGAUUAGGCUUCAGGCUUGUACCGGGAGCAGCAGGUAACGGUUGAAAACGGCUUUUUACAGCUUACGCGCACCGCCCGACCUAAAGGCGCAAGACAUGGGUACACUGGAGGAGGAGGGAAGGAAGGAGUGGAGGAGAGAGAGAGAGGGGGGUUUUUUCGGGGAGUGGUUAUGCCCACUCUGCCCUGCUUAACCCCUGGCGCGGAGAUCGCCUAGCCGCGCCGCCACCAGCGUCCCGUCCCCCUACAGGUGCGCCAGCUCCAGCCACGUCCCGAGGCACCCGCCGCCGCCGUCGUGCCGACCCCCGAGCCGGCACGGCGAGCGGCACGAAGACGCCGCCCUCCACCAGUCGCUCUCCUGGCGGCGGCUCGCGGGCCUCGAGGUCGUGCCGGAGAAGUCGGUUCGGUUCUUCCCGCUCCUAAAACAGAAGGAGUUCGGGCUGACGCUCGCAGAGGGGCCGAAGGGCGGUAGGAGGAAGAGACGGAAGCCGGACAAACUACCCGUGUUACCCUUACCUCGGCGAUAAAUAUGUUUCCUCUUAGAGAACUUGUUGUAGAACCCACGUCAGGGACGACUAGAGUUGUCCCUCCUGACCGAACGACGCGAAGGUUCCCGCUACCAACGUCGUAAACAGUUUUGGCUAUUUCUAAAGGUUUGUCAUCGUGCGAGAAGUCCUUGUUGUCACUGUAAACAGUAUUAUCUACCUAACCAACAAUGACAACGUAGACAACCACUAAGCGCAACACAUAAUCUUCGACUUCCAAGUUAAAUAGUCAAUAGAAGCCUAGUAGCAAAGCUACGGUCAUUUCUCCUCCAACUAGCACAUUGUCUUCGACCUCCACUACAACCUUCCGAUUUACAACAACCACCACGACUCUAACCGGGGGAAUCUACGACCGGACCCCCAAACACGGACAGUUCCUGUUAGCCUCUAGUCCUGCACCCACUUAAAUAGCAAGGACAAGGAGAGCAGUUCGUUCAUUUCAAUAGAUGACGACCUCCGGCCGAAUAAUAAAGUUCGCUACCACAAACCCUACGAAACUGACGUCUUGUCCGAGACUUGACAAGUUCUCCUGAAGGAGGACUUCGACGUCGGCUCGUUUAACAAUUUCUGCGUCACGUGAGUUUCCCUGACUCCCUACUGUGGUGAACAUAUCAGCAACUGGAUCAUGGUCUUUUUCCGUUGGGUCGAUACAGUCGAGGAUUUUUCGUUGGUCCUUACCCACAAAAGUUUUUAUACAAAGCGUUCUUUUGUAGAAGGCUGAGUAGUAGGGUACGUCUAUCUCUUAUAUACCUAGGUCUGCAACAUCUUCUCUAUAAACUCCUACUUACACGUAACGAGAGAUCUGCCGACCUAAGACUUAUGGGACAAGCUUUAUACAAGUUUGAGAAAUAUACACGAUAAACAGUUCAUCUCAAUUUCGGUUUAGUUCCCUAUAGACAUGUACUUCUAAGUAGUGUUGGACCCUUGAACGCAGCUACCCUACCAGGCAAGGAAACGGUUUCGACAGUCCUUUUUUUUCUUCGGUACCUCCCUUUCGCGGCAAGUGCUCUAAGCAGUAGCUCUUUAUCGCCCAGGUCACUUAUCAGCGGUUCCAAUUUCAACAGAACGAAAAUUUUUUCCCAAUACUAUGGUCUCUCGAUGACUGGAGUGUUACGGAUUCGGAGGUUCUCUGUUAGUAAGACGCCGUAAAGUGCAACAAAACCGUGAAGGCACUAGUGUACCUGACCAACCCCAUAAACUAGACUCUAACUUUAUACUUAACGGUACUUCGUCCACCAAUGACAAGUUAUCGGAUAAUACGGUAAACUUCACCGUUCGUAUAUGGAACAAAAAUUAAUUUCCCUGUUCGAAAAACGAGCUGUCAAAGUGUGUCUAGUAAACUGGAACCACCGUUUAUGUCCGGGUUUCUAGUAACUAACUCUUGCCGUACGGUACAACUGUAUAGAUAAGAAUCCAGUUUGAUAUCACACUUAAUGACUAGUGUAUAUCUCGAGGCCAGUCUUCCCGAAACAUUAAGAGUUAUACUCAUCCACUCAAAGAAGACUGGCUGGAACUGAACACCAGCUCUUUAUGAGUUGGGAACAACUUCAAGUCGAAAAGGAUUGAGAAGACAUUAAUUAAUCGUAUAUUUAUUUAAGAAAGUUUGUUGACACCGAACUAACUAGUCGUCCUGUAAAGACACGAACAAAUGUUACAUGUAUUAGAACG
This 2296-nucleotide ribosomal RNA is filed under the name Triticum aestivum (bread wheat). RNAcentral describes it as "partial small subunit ribosomal RNA". Lineage: Eukaryota; Viridiplantae; Streptophyta; Magnoliopsida; Poales; Poaceae. The record is from RNAcentral.